RNAcentral lists this ribosomal RNA (253 nucleotides) under uncultured bacterium. RNAcentral describes it as "partial 16S ribosomal RNA". It matches the Rfam family "Bacterial small subunit ribosomal RNA", at positions 524 to 776 of the family's 1533-position model. The record is from RNAcentral.
UACAGAGGGUGCGAGCGUUGUCCGGAAUCACUGGGCGUAAAGGGCGCGUAGGCGGCCUGAUAAGUAGGGGGUGAAAUCCUGUGGCUUAACUGCAGGGCUGCCUCCUAGACUGUUAGGCUCGAGCACGGUAGAGGCAGAUGGAAUUCCCGGUGUAGCGGUGGAAUGCGUAGAGAUCGGGAAGAACAUCGGUGGCGAAGGCGGUCUGCUGGGCCGUUGCUGACGCUGAGGCGCGACAGCGUGAGGAGCAAACAGG